RNAcentral lists this long non-coding RNA (1474 nucleotides) under Equus asinus (donkey). RNAcentral's name for it is "lncRNA (ENSEASG00005033854.1)". Lineage: Eukaryota; Metazoa; Chordata; Mammalia; Perissodactyla; Equidae. The record is from RNAcentral.
UGUGAUAAAGUGUAAAUAACUGAAUUUUCAACCAUGGUUUGAAGUCAGCUUUCAGGGCAUUAUGUCUUGUUUUGAUGAAAAGAGAUCACUCUAUACCCCCCUUUUUAAAGGAAAAUUAUCGCAAGAGAAUCAGGAUGUGUAAAGCUAACAUGCAUCGCAAAAAACCAAAGGUAAUUGAAAACUCCUGAGACAUUUUCUGGAGUAGAAUGGGUAGUGAAGACCCAUGUCAGCCAUCAGAGGACUCCGGAAACCAGGAGAGCUGCCUGCUGUGUCAAGGCUGGCCUGAGGGCAUUUGCUGAGCAAAGAGAAACCCAGGAACGGAGAUCAACAGUCUUUUCCCACCCCACCUCUUGAUCUGUCUGAUUUACCCACAGAAAGCCAGCCAGGAUCCCCUAGGAGAGUCACUAGGCCCAGAAUGGAGUCCUCAGGGCUGCAGGGGACUGUGAUGCUAACAGUUAAACCUGCUUAGGACUUCAAAGAAUUGACGGGGGACUAACGCUAUCCCCAGCAUGGCCUCCUAGAUCUGAAUAAACUGGCAGUCCUUCUGUCUCUUUCCCAGUUUGCCUGCUUCCCCUUAGCCUUGAGCAGAACAAGCUGGAAUACCCCUACCACCACCUCCUGUUUCCCACCUUGCCACACCUGUGUUGUGAGUGCCAACCUGGGAGCCCUUGGACACUUCCAGAGGGCUCCCACAGAGAGGCUGGUCACCACCUCUGUAAUAGGCUGAGGAAAGCCAAGUGAGAAGAUUCAUUUACUUCGGGCAAGUUAUUUAACCUCUGAGCCUGUUUUUCUCUUCAUUGUUGAUUACUAACCUUGUCCAAAAAGCUCUUGAAGGGUAGGGCUUUUCCUUCACUUCUACUGUAUCCCUUCCCCAACAAAUAUCUGGCACUGAGGAGCUCAAUAAAGGUUUUGUCAAGUGAUGAAUGGUCCAGCUCCGGUAGCUUCUAUCAGCUUUGGGAGAGAGCCAAAGGCCCCCUGUCCAGCUCUCACUUUCCUUCCAUCUGCACUGGGCUAGCUACUUAUCCUAACAUCUUCUCUUGGAGAAUGGGAAAGCCAGCCUUUGAUACACUUCUGGUUUCCUGUGGCCUAUGCCCUAGGCUGAUUUUACACUAAGCUUUCUGAGAGGUUAGGGACCUCGAAUAUUGCAUUCUUCCUUUAUUGUCUUCUGGUUAUUUAUCCUAACAAGGGAGCAGGGGGACAGGCUGAGUUUGGGGAAAGAGCCUGUCUGCAUUUUAACUGCCUGGGGCAUUUUAAGGAGCUUGAAUUCCUUCUUGGCAGGAAGGGGACAUUGAAAUCAGUUAAUUUACUUUGGACCAUUUAUUUAACUUCUGAGCCCAUUUUUAUCUUCAUUAUUAUUAUUUUUAAAUGGUAGCUGAUUCUGUUCACAGCUAUUUAUUUUUAUGCUCCUUUUUUUUUUUUUUUUUUUUUUUUUGAGGAAGAUGAGCCCUGAGCUAACAUCUGCUGCCAGUCCUCC